CAGAGCGGAUCUGCACCACAUCCGGUGUGGAGGAAGAUUUGGAAUCUUAAACUGUCAGGGAAGAUCAAGAUCUUUAUUUGGAGGUGUCUACAUAAUGCAAUACCAUGCUUUAGUGUUUUGACUAAUCGUCACAUUGGCACUGUGUCAUAGUGUCCAAUUUGCAAGGGUGGAGCUGAGGACAUGAGUCACACCCUAUUUAAAUGUGCCCGAGUUCGCGAAGUGUGGGCAGUUCUGGGUAUGGCACAUGUAAGAGCGGAAGCCUGUUCGGUUGAUCGUCUCGGAGCGGCAGCAAUUGAGUUCUUAUUAUGUGACUCCUCGUAUCAGCGGACAUACUCGGGCCCAAUUGAAAUACCGGAACUGAUUGCUGCAACUUGCUGGUAUUUGUGGUGGCAAAGAAGACAGUUCAUACGGGGAGAGGAUUUAGCCUCACUGUUUAAAACGGCAAUAGCGAUCCAUGCUUUAACUCUAAACUACGUACGAGCAUUGGGGAAGCCAAAGAAUACAUCUAGAUUGAACAAAUGGCCGAUCGCGCUUUCAUGCCAAUAG
Molecule: ribosomal RNA, 546 nt
Filed under: Triticum aestivum (bread wheat)
Lineage: Eukaryota; Viridiplantae; Streptophyta; Magnoliopsida; Poales; Poaceae
Description: partial small subunit ribosomal RNA
Source: RNAcentral